UCUUUGUUGAGGAUCCUUCAGAAGCA
Molecule: non-coding RNA, 26 nt
Filed under: Rattus norvegicus (Norway rat)
Lineage: Eukaryota; Metazoa; Chordata; Mammalia; Rodentia; Muridae
Source: RNAcentral